This 65-nucleotide transfer RNA is filed under the name Enoplops sibiricus. RNAcentral describes it as "tRNA-Glu". It matches the Rfam family "tRNA". Rfam says of the family: Transfer RNA (tRNA) molecules are approximately 80 nucleotides in length. Their secondary structure includes four short double-helical elements and three loops (D, anti-codon, and T loops). Lineage: Eukaryota; Metazoa; Arthropoda; Insecta; Hemiptera; Coreidae. The record is from RNAcentral.
AUUUAUAUAGUUUAACUUAAAACAAUUCAUUUUCAAUGAAUAGAUGAAUGUUUAUUCUAUAAAUA